RNAcentral lists this transfer RNA (72 nucleotides) under Pseudomonadota bacterium. RNAcentral describes it as "tRNA-Arg". It matches the Rfam family "tRNA". From Rfam's summary of the family: Transfer RNA (tRNA) molecules are approximately 80 nucleotides in length. Their secondary structure includes four short double-helical elements and three loops (D, anti-codon, and T loops). RNAcentral also lists the same sequence under 1 other name. Lineage: Bacteria; Pseudomonadati; Pseudomonadota. The record is from RNAcentral.
GCCCUCGUAGCACAAAGGAUAGUGCAAGAACCUCCUAAGUUCGAGAUCCGGGUUCGACUCCCGGCGGGGGCU